ACAGAUCAAACAGCCAUCAUGACUUUCAUCAUCAUCUUCACCUGGAUGAUCAUCACCUGCACCUCCAACUCUUUAGGACAGGUUUUAACUCAGUCUGGAGAUCAGACAGUGCAGCCUGAUCACACCGUCACUAUUACCUGUAAACAUGAUCCAGCAAUUGACUGUUUUAACAAAGAUACAAAAAAGCGCUGUAUAUCCUGGUAUCAUCAGAUUCCUGGAGAAGCUCCUAAACUCCUGAUAUAUCACACUGAUGAAAGAGCUUCUGGAGUUUCUUCUAGAUUCAGUGGAAGUGAGAAUGGAAACAAGAUAGAUUUCUCUCUGACCAUCAGUAAAGUCCAGCCUGAAGAUUCAGGAGUUUAUUACUGUCAGAGUCAACAUAACAUAGGAGAGUCCCCAAACUUUGUGUGGGUGUUCACACAGUGAAAUAUCAUCGUACAAAAACCUCCUUCAGUCUGACUCUACACUGCAGCUGCAGAUACUGAAAGAGGAA
Molecule: non-coding RNA, 490 nt
Organism: Astyanax mexicanus (Mexican tetra)
Lineage: Eukaryota; Metazoa; Chordata; Actinopteri; Characiformes; Acestrorhamphidae
Source: the annotation of a RefSeq genome assembly